Molecule: long non-coding RNA, 5348 nt
Filed under: Sus scrofa (pig)
Lineage: Eukaryota; Metazoa; Chordata; Mammalia; Artiodactyla; Suidae
Description: lncRNA (ENSSSCG00000055931.1)
Source: RNAcentral
CAGGAAUUUGUUCAGUCUCCAGGAAAUUGUGAAGGUCUAAAUGAGCAAAUUCGAGCUAUCCCAGCGUCCCUUGAAAAAUAUACACCGAAUCACAGAGGAAGAAGCAUAAACUCAUAUUUGGCCGGAAAAGGAGACACAAGCUAAACUCUCUUAAAAGUCUGAUAUUACUUCCCAAUACAAAAAAAGCAGAAUGAAAACUGCAUUUUCCAGUGAAAACAGAGGUUGACAUUGACCAUGGGGCCGACCUUCCCUUAGCACCAGUCAAAAGAGAUGGCAAAAUCAUAGUACUUAAGAGUUGGCAGGGCCUUGGUGUGUCACCUCCCUGCCUCCCUGUCACUGCAGGGAUGCCUUCCCAGCCUGCCAGAGGCUCAGAGCUCACUCUCUCACAUCAAGGGCCCCCACCCCUGAGAGCUGAGAUGAAAUCGCUCUCCUUAGAGAUGCUACCUGGCCCCCAGUCCUGCGUGCACCGCAGUGAACCAGGACAGCUCUCCCUGUUCCUUCUCAAACUUUCCUCCAGGCAACACAUCAUCAGGUCCUUGGGUGAAGUGACUUUUCUAAGCACUAGACCCCUUGCCCCUGAAAUCCUGGUCAAUAUUUCCACCCUUCUUAGCCCAAGAGUUUCUUUGAAGCACAAACUUGAAAAAGCAAGUGCCUCCCCUCCCCACCCACCCCUUAAUGCCACUCUAAGCUGUUAAUGAUCAGUUACGCUUGGUAUGCAGGGGAGCAGAGCCCCUACAGCCGACGUGGCAGAGAAAGGUUAAAGCAGAGAGGGAGAGAAGAAUAAGGCAUUAUUGGGCCAGUGGGGAGAAGCGGUGAGAGCAAAUACAAAGAAAAGAAGAAGGAGGAAUAACAAGAACUAUCUUAGCUUCCAUCACAAUUUUACCCAAGGUGGAUGUGGCGCACAAGCACGUGCGCACACACACACACACACACACACACACAGACCACGCACUCAUUAAGUAGCCCAGACAAGCAGUCAAACAGCUGAGUGCACCACCUGAUGUCACUCUUCUGACCAUUAAUGGAUCCUGCAUUUUCUUCCAUUCUAACAACUUAAUCACUUACCCAUCAUCUUCUCUCCAUAUGGACUUAGAGACAGUGUUUGGUUAAAGAGCUUCAAUCUCUUUACAAGCCACCCCAUAAAGAUAAGUGGAGGUAUCAAAAUUCUCCAUGAACUAAGACCUCAGACUGCAGAGAUUCCUCACACAGAAUACUUUCGGAUGGCCACUGGGAGUCAGAGGGAAUGACCUAAUAAAAGUGAAAACCAGGGGCAGGCAGAGCGAUAAUGCAUAUGGUCAAGAGAGCUGUUUUGAUAUGGAAAUUUCCUUUGCAGAACUGAAUGGGUUCUCUCGGCAUUUUCCCCAGCUUGACUCUCUCUAGUUGAGUUUUCAAUUCCAACUCUCCAUUAUCACCCCGUUCCUUAACCCCCCAUCUGUCCUAUAACCCAUGAAAUCAGGUAAAUUUUUUCCAAUCUUUUGUACGAAGUUUAUUAAAAAAGAGUAAACCCUCUUCAGAUGCAGGUGUCAAAAUUCCAUCAUUUAUUUACCUUUGUCUAGAAGAAUUAAAAUAGAAACUUUUUUUUCCCUUGCAUGCUGAUGAGUCCUCUAAAGAUCCAACCAUUUCAACUAGUUUUCUUACAUGGCACAGAGGAGCACAAUGCCCCCUCCUCAAGCAAGGGGAGAUAAGGAAAAUGAAAGGGGGAGUGGAAGGAAGUGAGGUAUCAUUUAUUCUGUUGUCUCCUUUGGUUAAAAAAAAAAAACAAUCACAGCCAUGUUUUGCCUGCCUGUCAGCUUUACAAAGCACUUUCACUCAAUGGCGUUGAGCCUCACACACACUGCAGGGCAAGCAGAGGAGCUGUCAUGGUCCCCAUUUAGCACACAGGAAAACUGAGAGUCACAAAAGGCCAAGAAUUUGUCCCACGCCCCAAUGACUCACAUACCCAAACACAUAGUCCAGCCUGCGUUUGAGUCCACCUGUCAGUCUUCUGCAAAGCUACUAGAAGAUCUGUUCGGCCCUGGCUUUCCACAGAAAAUUCUGAGCAGUUCUCCUGACUGUGCCCUUCUCCUGCCUCUGGAUCCCCUUCCUAGCCAAUGUCAGCACCAACACCAUCCAUACCUAUCAAAAGUAUCUGAUUAUGUCCUCUCACCCACCGCUUCAGCCAGCCCUCAUGUGGGCAAGUAAACUGAUAAAGCAACUCCCGCUAAAGCAUUCUCAGUGGAGCUUUAGUACCUUGUCAAAGUCCACAGUUAGUUAGUGGAUUAGGAUCUGAACCCCAAACAGGGUACAAUUCCAGGUCAUAUCAUAGGCACCGUGCAGUAAACAUUCCCAGAAUCCCCUGAUGACACCUCUUGGAAAGUUAUAGUCUCUGUAUAUAUCACACAAGCAGUAAAAAGAUAUGAACUUUAUAAUUAUGCCAAGCAUGGGUGGCAGGAGGCGAGCCUUUAAAGAUUCCCCAGACAGAAGCAGUUUUGCACUUGGAGUGGCCCCUGUGACAGGUGAUAAGGACAUCCUUUCCAUUGCCACCACCAGGUUCCACAGACACCUCCAGGUUCUGUCUUUGCCCAGAACGGGUCUCAGAACCUCAGUGUAAACCCAGUGACUGAUCACACCUACUAUUCUGCCGCUCAGAUGAUGGACUGAACCCGAAGCCUAUUCACUGCCAACAGGGACAUCCUGGCAUGCUCCUGGACCCUGUUUCUGCCCAAGUGCUUCAAAAACAUGCAUCUAAGGGAAAUUCGACUUCACCUGAUACUUAGGACCAUACCCUCCACAAAGCAGAGAAUAUUCUAGACUAUUCUGUGAAAGCCUUUGAUUCAGGUUCACAUUUUGUUGAGAACAGAUACAGGCCAAGCCCUGGGGCGGGGCUACAACUGACAAGGACGACACUGAUCGCCACUUCCAGGCUUUGACCCCAUGACACACGCUGCUGCGGCAAAUCCCCCAAUUAACAUUAUCUUAGUUACCCUUCAUGAACCCGGAGGUACCCAUUAUUAUUAUUCCAGAGCAGAUGAGAAAACCAGGGCCUCAGAAAUUUGCCCAGAGUUAAAUAAAGGUCCAGCCAGGAUUCAGUCCCUGCUCGCCUGAUGAAAAGUCCUAGACUCUUAACAACAGUAUUAUUAAAACAGGCCCAGGCAAUGAGAACACGACUCCAAUGCUUGAGAUUGGCUGGAACAAAACCCAACUAUGCAAGUGCUUAUUUCAAACUCCCAAACCUACACAAUGAUGUUAGGUCCUGGCAAACAAACAGACACUGCAAACAGGCUCCUUCUCAACAUACUAGUUUCUGUUCUGGGGCCAACUCUAAAUACCAUAUAACCAGACGUUCUCUGUGUAUUUUUGGAACUUUCUCAGGCAUAACAGGAAUGAAAACACUCAUCCACCGUCGGGGGAAAUGGAGAUGAUGUGUGGAAGAAACUCUCAGCAAGCAGUGCUGGUGUGGAAAAGGGGAAAGAUGGAGCUGGCUCCCUCCUCCUCUGUUCUGGGUGGAAUGAAACCCAUGCUGUCCAACCUGGCCAUUCCCCCGGGGUCCUCCCCUUCCUUUUUGGCCCAGUCUUUCUUAGUCCCUCUCUGUCUGUCUUCUUCCCCUGCCCUCUGUUCCCUCUGGCCACCAGAAUCAAUGGACUGGAAGGGGACACACAUAGGGAAGGUACCCAGAGCAGGGAUGAUAAAAUGCACAAAUCAGGUUCCACUGCAUCUCCUUCCUUUGCUCCUCCAUUGAAAGACUCUACUGAUCAAGUAUCAGGGCAGUGGGAAGGGUCAGAAAAUCCACUGGCCUAAGAACUAGUAGCUCUGGCUUCUCAUCCUGACCCAUAAGAGUGUGAGCCUGAGCCUCACUUUCUUGGACUGUAACAUGGGAGACAACAGAACUGUCUUUCAAAUUCCUUCUCAUUUUUUGUUCUUUUCUUUUUAGGGCCACAACCUGUGGCAUAUAGAAGUUCCCGGGAAAGGGGCCACAUCGGAACUGCAGCUGCACCAAUGCCAGAUCCAAGCCACAUCUGCAACCUGCACCAUAGCUUGCAGCAAUGCCAGACCCUCAACUCGGUGAGCGAGGCCAGGGGUGGAACCCGCAUCCUCGUGGAUACUAAUUGGGUUCCUCACCCUCUGAGCUACAACAGAAACUCCCCUCAUUUUUGAACCCAAGAAUUUCUGUAGCUGGAAAUAGUAUUACAAAAUAAUUGGUAUUAUAAAAAAAUAACAAUAAUAAUACUAUAACAAAAUAAUUGGCAGGUGGCUCCUAGGUGAGACCCAAAGACUCUUCCUACCCUCCUCCAUUGAAUUACUGAUCUGGUUACUGAUUAAUAACUGAUCACUGUCAAAUCAGUCUAGAUCAUCUAGACCUGCCAAAGUGGCUGUUCUUUUUCUCUGUGUGGCCCACUUAUCAAAUGAAUCUAGCAAACGCCUGAGGAUGGUGCUGUCUAAUUUGUGAAGGGUUUCUGAGAAACAAGUAUGAGUAAUCUUCUCCAUCCACGGUGUUUGGCUUUACAUUAUUUCCAUACCACUGUUGACGUUGUCAGGCUGCUCAGGCAGAGACCCGUGAAGACAAAUAAGAAUAAAGUUAAACGCUGGACAUUUAUUUUCUUUUCAAUCCAUCUUCAAGGUAAACCUGCCUCUUCACACGGAAGACAGGUCCUUGGGAUUUUAGGAGCUUAUCUCUGGUCCCCGGGCAAAGUUACAACCUGUUAACAAAGGACUAUUGUAAUCAAAGGAAUCUAACAGAAAGGUUUCUAUUGCCGCUUGCCUGGGAAAGAAAGUUUUUCUUUCCCUAACUAGUUAUUAAAGUACUUACAUUUAAAUUGGGGAUAUUUCAGUGACAUCAGAAUACAGACCAACCCUGAGCCUUUGUGCAAAUGUAAAUUACUGCUUGAAAAUGUUCUGUUAACAUUCAAUCUACUUGGAUUUUCCUUUAUUUUUUUCAUACCUUGCUACAUUCUCUUAGUGGCUUGUCUUGAUUCAGUUAGCCAAAGGAGGGGUUGUGUGUGUGUGUGUGUAUGUGUGUGUGUGUGUGUUAAGAAGGAACAGAAGAACAAUGACAUUCUUUGAACUUAGUUGAAGGUAGCUAUUUAGAAUUUGCUAAAUUAGAUGGACUGAGCAUUUUAGUUCUGUCAGGCACACGCAUCUGAUAAGUCUUUGAUGCAUAUCUCUAUCGGCUUGUGGUAAGAGCAAAAAUUAAAGGCAGGUGGGGAAAGCCAGCAGAGCGCCUAAGAGGCAAAUCUAGAACAUGCUAUAACAUUGUUAUUAUUGGCUGGGGUCAGGGCUCUGCAUCUUUCCCCUGCAUCAGGAGUCAGGGUUGGUUUGGCGACACAGAGGGAGGCCCCUGAUUGGAUUCAUAUUGGGCUGACAGUGGGAGG